CCUUCUCUCUUCUCUC
Molecule: small RNA, 16 nt
Filed under: Arabidopsis thaliana (thale cress)
Lineage: Eukaryota; Viridiplantae; Streptophyta; Magnoliopsida; Brassicales; Brassicaceae
Description: ATSL224170
Source: RNAcentral